This 225-nucleotide ribosomal RNA is filed under the name uncultured bacterium. Its description in RNAcentral is "partial 16S ribosomal RNA". It matches the Rfam family "Bacterial small subunit ribosomal RNA", at positions 15 to 231 of the family's 1533-position model. The record is from RNAcentral.
GAUCAUGGCUCAGGAUGAACGCUAGCUACAGGCUUAACACAUGCAAGUCGAGGGGCAGCAUGGUCUUAGCUUGCUAAGGCCGAUGGCGACCGGCGCACGGGUGAGUAACCCGUAUCCAACCUGCCGUCUACUCUUGGACAGCCUCCUGAAAGGAAGAUUAAUACAAGAUGGCAUCAUGAGUCCGCAUGUUCACAUGAUUAAAGGUAUUCCGGUAGACGAUGGGGA